Molecule: ribosomal RNA, 452 nt
Filed under: Trifolium glomeratum
Lineage: Eukaryota; Viridiplantae; Streptophyta; Magnoliopsida; Fabales; Fabaceae
Description: eukaryotic LSU rRNA
Rfam family: Eukaryotic large subunit ribosomal RNA (bases 312-452)
Source: RNAcentral
UGCAGAAUCCCGUGAACCAUCGAGUCUUUGAACGCAAGUUGCGCCCGAUGCCAUUAGGCUGAGGGCACGUCUGCCUGGGCGUCACAUAUCGAAGCCUCUCGCCAAUUUCCUAUAUUGAUAGGGGUAUUGUGCAGGGCGAAUGUUGGCCUCCCGUGAGCUCUAUUGCCUCAUGGUUGGUUGAAAAUUGAGACCUUGGUAGGGUGUGCCAUGAUAGAUGGUGGCUGUGUUACGCACGAGACCAAGUAAGUCAUGUGCUGCUCUAUCGAAUUUAGGCCUCUUUUACCCACAUGCGUUUCGAAACGCUCGUGAUGAGACCUCAGGUCAGGCGGGGCUACCCGCUGAAUUUAAGCAUAUCAAUAAGCGGAGGAAAAGAAACUAACAAGGAUUCCCUUAGUAACGGCGAGCGAACCGGGAUAAGCCCACCAUGAGAAUCGGUCGCCCUCGGCGUUCGA